Molecule: long non-coding RNA, 634 nt
Organism: Vicia villosa (hairy vetch)
Lineage: Eukaryota; Viridiplantae; Streptophyta; Magnoliopsida; Fabales; Fabaceae
Exons: 3
Source: RefSeq, a predicted model, not a curated record
CUUUUCACUUUCACAUUUCUUUCUCUUUCUACUUUCUCUUCUCUCUUCUGGUUUCACAUCAAUGAUUAUUUUCUCUUUCUACUUUCUCUUCUCUCUUCUGGUUUCACAUCAAUGACUAUUUUCUCUUUCUCUUUGGAUUUUUAGUUUAUGAACUAUUAUCAUGUGUUUGUUUCAGAUCUUGCAGAAGCACUGCUUGAAUGCAAAGAAAAUGUUCAAGAUCUCUUAUGGUAUGUGCAAUAAAAGACCCUUCCACUUUUUCUACUUUCUACCACCUAUGUUGUGUCAAAUUACUCUAAAGGUUGAAGGAUGCAAAUGUUAGAGCUCGGAUUUGUCACACAUAUUUCAGAUCUGCAAGGUUCUCUAAUCUUUCACAUCUUCAUGCUCUAAAUGGAAUAUUUAUAUUUUGUUUUUAUUUUUAUUUGUCUUCUUCCUUCUUACUUUUUUGUUUCCUAACAUUUAAUCUUAUAUUUUUUUCUUUUUGAUUUCAUGUUUCAGUUGUUGCUUUAUAGAUCUCUUAUGUUUAAGAGGAUUGAAGCAGAUAUAUUUGCUAAGUUUAUUUGUUAAUACUUGAUUUUGAAUAAUUUUAUUUAGCUUAAAGCAAAUUUCAAAUACAAUUAGAAUCAAAUUAAUGUUA